CCUACGGGUGGCAGCAGUGAGGAAUAUUGGUCAAUGGGCGGAAGCCUGAACCAGCCAAGUCGCGUGAGGGAUGAAGGCCCUGCGGGUGGUAAACCUCUUUUGCCGGGGAGCAGAGGUCAGGACGUGUCCGGGCCGGGAGAGGACCCGGAGAAAAAGCAGCGGCGAACUCAGUGCCAGCAGCCGCGGUAAUACGGAGGAUGCGAGCGUUAUCCGGAUUUAUUGGGUUUAAAGGGUGCGCAGGCGGAAGAUCAAGUCAGCGGUAAAAUGGAGAGGCUCAACCUCUUCGAGCCGUUGAAACUGGUUUUCUUUCGUGCGUGCGCAGUCUGCGGCAUGCGUGGUGUAGCGGUGACAUGCCUCGAUAUCACGC
This 367-nucleotide ribosomal RNA is filed under the name uncultured bacterium. RNAcentral's name for it is "partial 16S ribosomal RNA". It matches the Rfam family "Bacterial small subunit ribosomal RNA", at positions 338 to 702 of the family's 1533-position model. The record is from RNAcentral.